This is a long non-coding RNA of Papaver somniferum (opium poppy), 241 nucleotides long. RefSeq lists it as uncharacterized. NCBI's taxonomy places the organism in Eukaryota, Viridiplantae, Streptophyta, Magnoliopsida, Ranunculales, Papaveraceae. The transcript is spliced from 3 exons. The record is from RefSeq and is a predicted model, not a curated record.
GGUUAACUUCAGAUCUCGUGUUUGAAUUUCGGAUUUCAUCUUCUUACAGUUACAAUCAAAAGGGGGACAUCAAGCACCAUCUUUGAUUAAAUGUACUGGGGAGAGAGAUGUCAAGUGUACAAGAACAAGAGUUACCAGAACCAGACCAUUACAACGAUGUUAUGAGUGGUGACGGUCAAGAUGAUGAUGAUGAUGUUGAGAUGCUAGAUUCUGUGAAUGAGGAUCCAACUGUUGGUUGUGC